AGAGUUUGAUCAUGGCUCAGAAUCAACGCUGGCGGCGUGCCUAACACAUGCAAGUCGAACGCGAAAGUCCCGCAAGGGAUCAGUAGAGUGGCAAACGGGUGAGUAACACGUGGGUGACCUGCCUUCGAGCGGGGGAUAACGUCCCGAAAGGGACGCUAAUACCGCAUGACAUCCUGCCUUUGAAGAGGUGGAGAUCAAAGCUGGGGAUCGCAAGACCUAGCACUCGAAGAGGGGCCCGCGCCUGAUUAGCUAGUUGGUGGGGUAACGGCUCACCAAGGCGACGAUCAGUAGCCGGCCUGAGAGGGCGGACGGCCACACUGGGACUGAGACACGGCCCAGACUCCUACGGGAGGCAGCAGUGGGGAAUUGUUCGCAAUGGGCGCAAGCCUGACGACGCAACGCCGCGUGGAGGACGAAGACCUUCGGGUCGUAAACUCCUUUCGAUCGAGACGAACGGCCUUCGGGUGAACAAUCCGAAGGAGUGACGGUACCGAGAGAAGAAGCCCCGGCUAACUCCGUGCCAGCAGCCGCGGUAAUACGGGGGGGGCAAGCGUUGUUCGGAAUUACUGGGCGUAAAGGGCUCGUAGGCGGCCAACUAAGUCAGACGUGAAAUCCCUCGGCUUAACCGGGGAACUGCGUCUGAUACUGGAUGGCUUGAGAUUGGGAGAGGGAUGCGGAAUUCCAGGUGUAGCGGUGAAAUGCGUAGAUAUCUGGAGGAACACCGGUGGCGAAGGCGGCAUCCUGGACCAACACUGACGCUGAGGAGCGAAAGCCAGGGGAGCAAACGGGAUUAGAUACCCCAGUAGUCC
RNAcentral lists this ribosomal RNA (809 nucleotides) under uncultured bacterium. Its description in RNAcentral is "bacterial SSU rRNA". It matches the Rfam family "Bacterial small subunit ribosomal RNA", at positions 8 to 796 of the family's 1533-position model. The record is from RNAcentral.